Peromyscus californicus insignis is the source of this 2357-nucleotide long non-coding RNA. RefSeq lists it as uncharacterized. The record is from RefSeq and is a predicted model, not a curated record. Lineage: Eukaryota; Metazoa; Chordata; Mammalia; Rodentia; Cricetidae. The transcript is spliced from 2 exons.
AGAAGAAUCCAGAGCAGAGCGGCAGCCUCAAGACAGGAGUGCUGAGCAGGGCCUAAGAGUUGUUACCUCACUGGAUUGAAGAUAGGGUGGAUCAGACAUCCCUGCAAAGUGUGGGCAGAUGUGCGUGCCAAGGCACACUCUGGAGGUCAGUGGACAACUUGCAGGGAUCAAAUCUUUCCUUCCAUUUGGUGGGUCCUGGGGACCAAACUCAGGUCACCGCCAGCCUUCCUAGUUAGUACCUUUACCCACUGACCCAUCUCAGCAGGUCAGUUUAUUCUUUCUUUUCUUUUUCUUUUUUUUUUUUUUAACCUUUCAUGUAUGGGAGAGAAGGGAGGGACCAUACAGCGUGUCUUUUUCUUUCUAUGCUACCAUUUGAUGUCUUCCUGUUCUAUCCAUUUGGCUGUAAGUAACAGAAUUACCAUCUUUAUGCCUGAAUAAAACUCCAUUUGUAUAUUGACCCUAUUUUCUUUAUACGUUCAGCUGCAGCUGGCUCGUGAACUGAUUCCAUAUCUUAGUAAACAUGAAAGAAGGGAAAUGGCUACUCUGUGUCUCAGAUGCUGUCUGAUGACAUUCUUAGCUUUGGGGCAGUUGGAAGUGAGCGGCCUGUUAAUACAUCCCAAAAGAUUCAUGUGGAUGCUAGAUCAGCAUUCAUAGGAUUCAUAGGAUGCUAGAUCAGAUACUGAGGUGGCUAAUGAAUAGCUAUUAAGGGGCCUAAAGAUAGCCCAAGAUAAUUUGGCUUUGAAUCUGUAACAAUACAACUCUCCACAGUCAGGGAAGUUUUAAAUCAGUUGAUCAGCAUUACAGAAUCUUCAAAACAGAUGUGCCCCCCCCACCCCCGCCAUCCCUCCAUCCCCAAACUUCUGUUGUACUCUGAGAGGUCAGGGAGGUAAGAGGUUGCUGAUGGCUCAUUGUUGGGGUCACAGAGGUCCUUGUACUCAAAAAGAAGCACCAAGAGAACCAGGAAUGUUAAUAUCUGAGGUGUGACUCCUCAAUGGAGGAGAUACAAAUCAAAUUCUUGCAUUCCAUCCAGAAAGCUGAGAGUGCAUUUUAUGAAUGACCUGGUGACCUUUUGGCUAUCUGUGGAGGCAGCCCUCACCCAAAUUCUCCAGAUGAUUAUCCCAGACUCUUCCCUUCCUAGACCAUUACCCAUCCUUAGCGGAGAUGUCACACGUACUUUAUGGCCUGCUGACCUCUAUGCUACUGGUCAGAGACCACACUAGAUGCUAGACCUUUUAGCUGCAGAACUCAUUGUCAUGGUUACAUGUCCUGCGUAAGAGUCUCUAUGUACUCACACCUUAAGCUUUAUUGUGUACUUGGAACUGGACUAACUGUUGCCUGGAAACCUUUUCCCAAAUUGUACUGUGCUUUAAAUAUGCUGACAAUGAACAGACUGGCAUUAGACUCCCUGAGUCUGAUCCAGGUUGACAAAGUCAUUCUGCACUGGGUAUUCAUUCUCAUCUCUUCUGCGUAGUUUGUUUCCCUGCCUGACACCUGCAGGGACCCCUUCAGUUGUGGGGAGGGAUUCCAGACAAUGGACCCCAUCAUAGAGAUCCAAACAGGUAACUUAACCAGAUGGGUAAGGGUGAAAAGGACCUGGGUUGUGGGGCCUUGCUUCAUAGGCUAGGGUACAGCCCACUAGCAAAAGGUGUGAUGACCAUUACUUGGAGUGUUUCCUUGUGACUAUGUGAGUUUGUCACUGGCCGUAGGGACAGAGGCACAGUUCUAUUCUAUCCCUGCUACAGUCCGAAGGGUUCUCUUUCACCUUAGUGACCUGUGGUGGUAUUGUGUUCCCCAAAAUAUUGUGUACCUUAAUAAACUUAUCUGGGGUCAGAGAACAGAAAAGCCACAAGAUACUUAGGCUAGCAAAUGUUAGCACACGCCUUUAAUCCUAGCAUUCCAGAGACAGAAAUCCAUCUGGAUCUCUGUGAGUUCAAGGCGGCAUUGGAAACAGCCAGGCAUGGUGACUCACGCCUUUAAUCCCAGAAAGCAGCCUUUAAUCCCAGGGAGUGGUGGUAGAAAGCAGAAAGGUUUAUAAGGUGUGAGGACCAGAAACUAAAGGCAUUUGCCUGGUUAAGCAUUUGGCUGGUUAAGCAUUCAGGAUUUCGAGCAGCAGUUCAGCUGAGAGCCAUUGGGAUGAGGACACAGAAGCUUCCAGUCUGAGGAAACAAGACCAGCUGAGAAGUUGGCCAGGUGAGGUUAGCUGUAGCUUGUUCUGUCUCUCUGAUCUACCAGCAUUGACCCCAAUAACUGGCCUCGGGUUUGAUUAUAUUAAUAAGACUCUUUAAGAUUCAUGCUACAGUGACCUUUACUCAUGUCAAAUGGGUUAGUGGCUUCAAUGAAGAGACGUUUUAAAUGUA